This 253-nucleotide ribosomal RNA is filed under the name uncultured bacterium. Its description in RNAcentral is "partial 16S ribosomal RNA". It matches the Rfam family "Bacterial small subunit ribosomal RNA", at positions 524 to 776 of the family's 1533-position model. The record is from RNAcentral.
UACGUAGGGUGCAAGCGUUACUCGGAAUUACUGGGCGUAAAGCGUGCGUAGGUGGUUUGUUAAGUCUGAUGUGAAAGCCCUGGGCUCAACCUGGGAAUUGCAUUGGAUACUGGCAGGCUAGAGUGCGGUAGAGGAUGGCGGAAUUCCCGGUGUAGCAGUGAAAUGCGUAGAGAUCGGGAGGAACAUCUGUGGCGAAGGCGGCCAUCUGGACCAGCACUGACACUGAGGCACGAAAGCGUGGGGAGCAAACAGG